UCCCUGGUAGCUCAGACAAUAAAGCGUCUGCCUGAAAUGUAGGAGACCUGGGUUCCAUUCCUGGGUUGGGAA
Transfer RNA from Ovis aries (sheep), 72 nucleotides. It matches the Rfam family "tRNA". Rfam says of the family: Transfer RNA (tRNA) molecules are approximately 80 nucleotides in length. Their secondary structure includes four short double-helical elements and three loops (D, anti-codon, and T loops). Lineage: Eukaryota; Metazoa; Chordata; Mammalia; Artiodactyla; Bovidae. The record is from Rfam.